RNAcentral lists this ribosomal RNA (464 nucleotides) under Vreelandella stevensii. Its description in RNAcentral is "partial 16S ribosomal RNA". It matches the Rfam family "Bacterial small subunit ribosomal RNA", at positions 338 to 795 of the family's 1533-position model. Lineage: Bacteria; Pseudomonadati; Pseudomonadota; Gammaproteobacteria; Oceanospirillales; Halomonadaceae. The record is from RNAcentral.
CCUACGGGUGGCAGCAGUGGGGAAUAUUGGACAAUGGGGGGAACCCUGAUCCAGCCAUGCCGCGUGUGUGAAGAAGGCCCUCGGGUUGUAAAGCACUUUCAGUGAGGAAGAACGCCUGGUGGUUAAUACCCAUCAGGAAAGACAUCACUCACAGAAGAAGCACCGGCUAACUCCGUGCCAGCAGCCGCGGUAAUACGGAGGGUGCGAGCGUUAAUCGGAAUUACUGGGCGUAAAGCGCGCGUAGGUGGCUUGAUAAGCCGGUUGUGAAAGCCCCGGGCUCAACCUGGGAACGGCAUCCGGAACUGUCAAGCUAGAGUGCAGGAGAGGAAGGUAGAAUUCCCGGUGUAGCGGUGAAAUGCGUAGAGAUCGGGAGGAAUACCAGUGGCGAAGGCGGCCUUCUGGACUGACACUGACACUGAGGUGCGAAAGCGUGGUAGCAAACAGGAUUAGAUACCCCAGUAGUC